This 253-nucleotide ribosomal RNA is filed under the name uncultured bacterium. RNAcentral's name for it is "partial 16S ribosomal RNA". It matches the Rfam family "Bacterial small subunit ribosomal RNA", at positions 524 to 776 of the family's 1533-position model. The record is from RNAcentral.
UACGUAGGGAGCAAGCGUUAUCCGGAUUUACUGGGUGUAAAGGGCGCGUAGGCGGGAUGGCAAGUCAGAUGUGAAAGCCCGGGGCCCAACCCCGGGACUGCUCUUGGAACUGCGUGGCUGGAGUGCAGGAGGGGCAGGCGGAAUUCCUGGUGUAGCGGAGAAAUGCGUAGAUAUCAGGAGGAACACCGGUGGCGAAGGCGGCCUGCUGGACUGCAACUGACGUUGAGGCCCGAAAGCGUGGGGAGCAAACAGG